This 107-nucleotide non-coding RNA is filed under the name Leuconostoc mesenteroides subsp. mesenteroides. Its description in RNAcentral is "lactis-plasmid RNA". It matches the Rfam family "lactis-plasmid RNA". The record is from Rfam by way of RNAcentral. Lineage: Bacteria; Bacillati; Bacillota; Bacilli; Lactobacillales; Lactobacillaceae.
CCAAAAACAAAAACUAAUCAUCUGAAAGAGCGGCAAUCUAAAAUUACAUUUUAGGUUGUUUAGCUCGUCAGAUGAUUAGUUUUUACCCUAAGUGGGUACCCACUUAG